CGGGUGAGUAAUGGAUAAGUAACCUGCCCUUAAGUGGGGGAUAACACUUCGAAAGAAGUGCUAAUACCGCAUGUGGUGCUCUUUCACAAGAAGGAUCACUAAAACCGCAAGGUGCUUGAGGAGGGGCUUGUCUCCGAUUAGCUAGUUGGUGGGGUAACGGCCUACCAAGGCGAUGAUCGGUAGCUGGUCUGAGAGGAUGGUCAGCCACACUGGGACUGAGACACGGCCCAGACUCCUACGGGAGGCAGCAGCAAGGAAUCUUGGGCAAUGGGCGAAAGCCUGACCCAGCGACGCCGCGUGAGGGAUGACGGCCUUCGGGUUGUAAACCUCUUUUCUCAGGGAAGAAUAAUGACGGUACCUGAGGAAUAAGUCUCGGCUAACUACGUGCCAGCAGCCGCGGUAAUACGUAGGAGGCGAGCGUUAUCCGGAUUUAUUGGGCGUAAAGUGGGCGUAGGUGGUCUUUCAAGUCGGAUGUGAAAUCUCCCGGCUCAACUGGGAGGGGUCAUCCGAUACUGUUGGACUUGAGUACAGCAGGGGAAAAUGGAAUUCCCGGUGUAGUGGUGAAAUGCGUAGAUAUCGGGAGGAACACCAGAGGCGAAGGCGAUUUUCCAGGCUGAAGCUGACACUGAGGCCCGAAAGCGUGGGGAGCGAACAGGAUUAGAUACCCUGGUAGUCCACGCCUUAAACUAUGGGUACUAGGUAUAGGG
RNAcentral lists this ribosomal RNA (707 nucleotides) under uncultured bacterium. RNAcentral describes it as "bacterial SSU rRNA". It matches the Rfam family "Bacterial small subunit ribosomal RNA", at positions 103 to 827 of the family's 1533-position model. The record is from RNAcentral.